Molecule: ribosomal RNA, 421 nt
Filed under: uncultured bacterium
Lineage: Bacteria
Description: partial 16S ribosomal RNA
Rfam family: Bacterial small subunit ribosomal RNA
Source: RNAcentral
AAUAUUGGACAAUGGGGGCAACCCUGAUCCAGCCAUGCCGCGUGUGUGAAGAAGGUCUUCGGAUUGUAAAGCACUUUAAGUUGGGAGGAAGGGCUUUAUGUUAAUACCCUGAAGUUUUGACGUUACCAACCGAAUAAGCACCGGCUAACUCGGUGCCAGCAGCCGCGUUAAUACAGAGGGUGCAAGCGUUAAUCGGAAUUACUGGGGGUAAAGCGGGCGUAGGUGGUUCAGUAAGAUGGGUGUGAAAUCCCGGGGGUUAACCUGGGAACUGCUUUCAUAACUGCUGAGCUAGAGGACGGUAGAGGGUAGUGGAAUUUCCUGUGUAGCGGUGAAAUGCGUAGAUAUAGGAAGGAACACCAGUGGCGAAGGCGACUACCUGGACUGAUACUGACACUGAGGUGCGAAAGCGUGGGGAGCAAAC